This 549-nucleotide ribosomal RNA is filed under the name uncultured bacterium. RNAcentral describes it as "bacterial SSU rRNA". It matches the Rfam family "Bacterial small subunit ribosomal RNA", at positions 355 to 896 of the family's 1533-position model. The record is from RNAcentral.
UGGGGAAUAUUGGACAAUGGGCGAAAGCCUGAUCCAGCAAUACCGCGUGUGUGAAGAAGGCCCUAGGGUUGUAAAGCACUUUCAAUUGGGAGGAAAACCUACCGGUCAAUACCCGGUAGCUUGACAUUACCUUUAGAAGAAGCACCGGCUAACUCCGUGCCAGCAGCCGCGGUAAUACGGAGGGUGCAAGCGUUAAUCGGAAUUACUGGGCGUAAAGCGUGCGUAGGCGGUUCGUUAAGUCAGAUGUGAAAGCCCCGGGCUCAACCUGGGAACUGCAUUUGAAACUGGCGAACUAGAGUUUAGUAGAGGGGAGUGGAAUUUCAGGUGUAGCGGUGAAAUGCGUAGAUAUCUGAAGGAACACCAGUGGCGAAGGCGACUCCCUGGACUAAAACUGACGCUGAGGUACGAAAGCGUGGGUAGCAAACAGGAUUAGAUACCCUGGUAGUCCACGCCGUAAACGAUGUCAACUAGCCGUUGGUCCUCUAUGUAGGAUUAGUGGCGCAGCUAACGCAUUAAGUUGACCGCCUGGGGAGUACGGCCGCAAGGUUA